RNAcentral lists this transfer RNA (73 nucleotides) under Acidimicrobiia bacterium. RNAcentral's name for it is "tRNA-Asn". It matches the Rfam family "tRNA". From Rfam's summary of the family: Transfer RNA (tRNA) molecules are approximately 80 nucleotides in length. The record is from RNAcentral. Lineage: Bacteria; Bacillati; Actinomycetota; Acidimicrobiia.
UCCGGGGUAGCUCAGUUGGCAGAGCAGCGGCCUGUUAAGCCGCUUGUCGCGAGUUCGAGCCUCGCCCCCGGAG